AAAGGGAGACCUAAUUCAGGUAAAAGACGAAAAAAAAGUAGUCGCUACCAAGAAUCAAUCCCAAAAGGUCGGAGCGAGGCGAAAUUGGCUUUCAAACUAGGUUCUGGGUUCAAACAAGACCUGAAUCAGGAACAAGGGCUAUUAGCUCAGGUGGUUAGAGCGCACCCCUGAUAAGGGUGAGGUCCCUGGUUCGAGUCCAGGAUGGCCCACCUGCACAGGUGGCGAAAACAAGAGAAGCGAGGAAUCAGCACCUUAUCUUACUUAUAUAGUAAGAGAGAAUGCUGGCUCUGAGUAAAGAGUCCAGAGGAACCUUGAAAACUGCAUAGAGCUAGGUGAAAAAGCCAAAAAAGAAGACCGCAAG
This 361-nucleotide transfer RNA is filed under the name uncultured Microcystis sp. Its description in RNAcentral is "partial 16S-23S ribosomal RNA intergenic spacer". The stretch from base 136 to 209 matches the Rfam family "tRNA". The record is from RNAcentral. Lineage: Bacteria; Bacillati; Cyanobacteriota; Cyanophyceae; Chroococcales; Microcystaceae.